UAUGCUGACUCGUGAGAUUACAAACAUUUCUCUUCCUAGGUGUCCAAAGAAGCUACUGACGACUCCGAAACGGGAGGAGAGACUAUUUACGGGCGUGGGAGAAGGGCAGCAUUAGUACCAAAGAAUGCAAAGCUCUCUUCAACACUUUUAGCGAUAUGUGCCGUCGCUCGUAAGAUUGAUUGGAGCUUACAUCGCGGUAGCCUGCCUUUACUGGAUGAUAUAAACCAAAUACUGGUUCAUGAAACUAAAAUCAAGGGAGCGAUAAUCGACAUCCGCCUAAAAGUUUUUGUAGCACACACACGCCACUCCGUGCGUUUAUCAAAGGAAUAACGAAUGCUACUAGACUG
Long non-coding RNA from Anopheles merus, 347 nucleotides. RefSeq lists it as uncharacterized. The record is from RefSeq and is a predicted model, not a curated record. NCBI's taxonomy places the organism in Eukaryota, Metazoa, Arthropoda, Insecta, Diptera, Culicidae. The transcript has 3 exons.